Molecule: long non-coding RNA, 3027 nt
Filed under: Nicotiana tabacum (common tobacco)
Lineage: Eukaryota; Viridiplantae; Streptophyta; Magnoliopsida; Solanales; Solanaceae
Description: long non-coding RNA (NTAB_LNC002588)
Source: RNAcentral
AAUAAGACAACGAUUAUACCGUCCCCUAUUUAUACUUCACAAAUUCGAAAACUCCACCCCACCUUUCCUCCACUAUCUGCUUCGAGUAAACCCUAAUUUGUUAUCCAAUUUGCUUCUAUCUCACAUAUUGCCAAUCGCUAUAGCCGGCGACUCCCUCUCCUCUCUUAAUCUCUCACUUCCUUCCCCUCUUCUCGACAUCUCUUCGAUAAAGCUGGCAAGAAUUUCGCUAAUCUUCGUCGUGCCUUUGAUAUAUGCGGAUCAAUUCACCUAGGUACUCUCUAUUUCUCGCUCCUUUUUACUUAUGUAUGUAUGCAUUUAUGUGGAUAUACGGUUACUUUAUUUUUUUCACUAUGCCUCAUUAUGUAGUUGUUGGAACUUCUUUCGGAGAUUUUAAAUAUCUUGUGUUGUUAGGAACAAAUUAUUUUGUAAUUGAAAUUUUCUAGAUUUUUUUUUGGUUUGGUUAGAACUUAUCCAUCAGUUUAUGGUUAAGAGAAGUGAGAAUCCUUAGGCUGUGUGUAAUUUGAACACGGAACUGUUGAUUCCAAUUAAAAUAAGCAAAAAAGAGGUUGUGAAAUGAAAAAGAUAUAAAGAAAAAGAUUCAAACUUUGAAUAUUUGAUGAUACUUGUUUAAAAGAACUAGCCCUGAUUUGAAAUGUGAAAAGUGAGAACUUGUGUGUUGCUUAUGUGCUGCUCAGACGGAAUCAUUUCUAUUAAUUUUGCAAGAUGAAAAGUAAAAUUAAUAACUUUGUGUUUGAAGUUGGCACUUAUUUUUAAGAUUGACCACUAGAAGUUGAAUUUGACAUUUUUUAUAAGGAUUAUUGAUUGCAUUUCUAUUAUUGGGCAUUUGAAGAUGUAUUAGCAGGACGGAACAGAAUAUGUAUAGAGGAUUAUAUAGAGAUCUUAAUUGAUUUGGGCUUGAGAAUUAGUCAACUGGUUAUAUCAAGAGCCGUGUGAGGAAUAAUUUUCAUGGUCAUCUACUUCUGCCAUGUAUUAUUAUGUGGGUUAAGGAACUUGAAGGAUUGAAUAUGCUGCGUGAACUAAUUUUAGUAUCAUUUACUAGAAUUUCCCUUGUUAAAGAAUAGUCCAGACUAUAUAUCUACGGUAGGAAAAGAAAAGGAAAACAGAAAGUGUUAGCUCUUUCUCGCUCUCUCGAUUCAUUAUCGCUAUUGAGAGGGGGGUUUGAUAAGACGUGGAGGAGUAUACUUAUACCACAGAUUAUGAAAUAUAUUGACAUUUUUAUAGGUUGUACGAUUUUGAAAAAGAUGAUUCUUACAGAUGGUUAUGUCUAAAAGUGGCAAUAUUGUCACAAGUGACCACUCACUAUUUAGUAAGGGAUUUUUAUCAGAUGAAGGCCUGCAACAUAUGUUGAAUUUUUGUCAUUAGUGGUCCUUUUUGUUUUGAUUUGGUUAUUGAUGCUAAUUGCAGUAUAUUAGCUGGUGUAUGUAUUGUUGGGAUCUUUUAGGUGAUAUCCAUGGCUUUGCUAUCUUGAUUUCUUGGAUUUUUACUCUAUUGGUGAUGAUGUUAAUAUCUAAUCUGAUAGCUCUCUAGCUUGUAGAUAAUGUUGUAGAUACAGCUCGGGCGCUUUGGACAUACGAGGCUGCAAAUUGUCUUGAGGAUGCUUCGUGAGUCUCAUUUGUGUUUGUGCUCCAAGGUAAAUACGUUCUCUUUCCUCUUUUAUGUCUUCCUUUUUUUGUUGUUUAUGUCCUGCGUACACUUUUAAUCUUAAGUAUGCGUGGGUCCGAUUAAAGUGUAAUACUAUGUAUAUUGUUCCUUCUUCUAUGAAGAAGAUUAUGAUUUCUCAUACAUCAUAUGAGGUCACAAAGUAGUCUAAUGAUGAUAUCCCUUUUAUCUAAUAUUCAAUGUUACUUUUUAGCAAAUAUUGGUCUCUCCACAAAAUUAUGUAAUGUUGUCUUUCAACUUAUAUCUUUUGGGAGAAAAGGUGUAGUUUGUUUGUAAAACUACUUGCAUUGCAUGAAUGCAAAUGUUAGGCGGUAAAAAAGGUGUGCCUAUAACACGUUCAGGACAACAGAACAUAAUUUUUUGUCAAGCAGAUAAAAAAGGUGUGCCUAUAACACAUUUCAAAGGGAGAGUGCUCUCACAAUAAGAGACUUUGGUCCUACCUCAAAAGAAGGUUAGCAAAUUAAACUUCGAGUAUUUCUGUUUAGAGUAAUAUUCGGAGGUUUGUGCUAAUAGUCUUAAUGCAAGCUACUAAUUGAUUAACCUGUCGUAUAUAACUUUUUCUUCGUGAACUUUUUUGCUGUUAAUUACUGAAUUCUCAGGGAUUUUACCUGAAGAGGUUAAAUAUUUAAAGGACUCCUACAAAUCUAUUUAUUAUUAAAAAUUAUGGUAAAUUUACCCCUAUGAUUGCUUAGAUGUGCAGAUACGAAUAUACUUUUGAUCAUGUUUCUUUAUCCUCUUCAGCUUUGGAUGGUACUGCCCCUAUUCAUGUGACUCUCAAGCUACUCAAGAUCUUACUUGAUAAGAGGCAUGUCAUAUAUGUCUGGCCUUAUGUUUCAAUUACCUUAUAUUUUGGCGAAUUAUCACUGUACAAAUCACAAAUAUAUUCGAUUAACACCAGGAGUUCUUCGGCAUUUUUGCUCUGCUGCUAAAUUUUUUUUUUAUGUUUUCAGUUACAACACUUAGUUCUUGGUAAGAAAAUUCUUUUAUGUUUUCAGUUACAACACUUAGUUAUAACACCUGAUGCUUUAUAUGGAGAUUGUUGAUGCUAUGAUGCUCGAGAAUUGUAACUAGUAUGUAUAUAUAUACACAUAUAUGUUUGUAUCUUGAUCCAUGUUUGUAUCUUGAUCCUUUUGAGUAUCUUAUUGCUUUUUGUUUCGAUUUAUUUUGUAGGCACUGGAUGUAGCAAAAUUGUAUCAUCACUUGACAACCCAAGAAGUACACCACAUAGAAAUAACAAAGAACAAGUUUAGGAUUUGCGAGAAUUAUUUUCCUCAUGGAAUGUAAAAUAUUACUCCUUGAAAUUUAGUUACAUUUUAUGAUGUAAUUUUAAAAUGCUUAUUCUUUUAA